Molecule: ribosomal RNA, 602 nt
Filed under: Wakarumbia linearis
Lineage: Eukaryota; Metazoa; Arthropoda; Insecta; Coleoptera; Lycidae
Description: partial 16S ribosomal RNA
Rfam family: Bacterial large subunit ribosomal RNA
Source: RNAcentral
CAUGUCCUUUUGAUAAUAAUUUAAGGUCUGAUCUGCUCAAUGAAAUUUAAAUUGCCGCAGUAUUUUGACUGUGCAAAGGUAGCAUAAUAAUUAGUUUUUUAAUUAAGAACUGGUAUGAAUGAUUGGACAAGAAAAUUACUGUCUCUUUUUUAAUUUUUAUUGAACUUUAUUUUUAAGUGAAAAAGCUUAAAUUUUUGUAAAAGACGAGAAGACCCUAUAGAGUUUAAUAUUCUUAACUAUUUAAAUAUAGAAUUCUUUUUUGUUAAGGUUUAUUUGGUUGGGGUGAUUUGAAGAUUGAAUUAAUUCUUUAACUGUAAAAUUAGUGAUUUCUAAAAUAAAAUUCUAUAAUUUGUAAGUUUAAAAUAAAUUACCUUAGGGAUAACAGCGUAAUUUUUCUUUAAAGUUCUUAUUAAAAGAAAAGUUUGCGACCUCGAUGUUGGAUUAAAAUUAAUUUUUGGUGCAAUAACUUAAGAAUUAGGUCUGUUCGACCUUUAAAAUUUUACAUGAUCUGAGUUUAAACCGGUGUAAACCAGGUUGGAUUCUAUCUUUAAAUAAUUAUAAUAUUUUAGUACGAAAGGACCAAAUAUUUGUUAAAUUAAUUG